AUUGAACGCUGGCGGCAGGCCUAACACAUGCAAGUCGAACGAGUGGCGUACGGGUGAGUAAUGUCUGGGAAACUGCCCGAUGGAGGGGGAUCACUACUGGAAACGGUAGCUAAAACCGCAUUCCAUCGGCUGUGCCCAGGUGGGAUUAGCUUGUAGGGGGGGUAAUGGCUCACCAAGGCGACGAUCCCUAGCUGGUCUGAGAGGAUGACCAGCCACACUGGAACUGAGACACGGUCCAGACUCCUACGGGAGGCAGCAGUGGGGAAUAUUGCACAAUGGGCGCAAGCCUGAUGCAGCCAUGCCGCGUGUAUGAAGAAGGCCUUCGGGUUGUAAAGUACUUUCAGCGGGGAGGCGUUACCCGCAGAAGAAGCACCGGCUAACUCCGUGCCAGCAGCCGCGGUAAUUC
RNAcentral lists this ribosomal RNA (406 nucleotides) under uncultured bacterium. RNAcentral's name for it is "partial 16S ribosomal RNA". It matches the Rfam family "Bacterial small subunit ribosomal RNA", at positions 30 to 526 of the family's 1533-position model. The record is from RNAcentral.